AAGGAGCUACAGGCAGAAGGUGGAGGAUAUGUUCUCACAGGGUUUUGCAUGACCUAGCAGCAUGAUCAUGGCUACCCAGGAGGCAAAUGUGACGGAAUAGGGGAAACAGUGUUGCUUCAGCCUGGUGAGAACUCCAGAAAGUACAGCUGUUCCUUGGUACCCUGCAGGUUGCUGAUGUGGCCACUAGAAAAAGGUGACCCCUCCAUUCCUUGGCAUGGACAUUUAGACUCUCAAGAAUACCACUGAAGCCAUGCAGAGGUGAGGUGAGUGCACAGCCACCCUCAGAUGGCAUCUUGAUCCCCAGCUAUGAAACCCUUAUCAGGAGAGCAUAAAAGAACUGUUCCUGAGGUCACACGAGAUCCCACUAGAGAGUAUCCAACACUGGGUGAGACUUUGAUGGAGCUGGAGCUUCUGGGCCAUGCAUUGGUGGUAAGGGGUGGGGGGUGUGCAGGGGUGGGGGCUCUGAUAUUUUGGCUAUUCCCAUUAAUAUAAUCCUGUUAGACUGGGGAAGCUUGAGUUACAGGUGAAAUAGAAAUUCAUCCUUACUGUAGGGUUUAGCACACCGAAAACUUCACCUCUCUCUGCUGACUCUGGCAUAUACACCAAAGAGAGAAAAAUUGGAUUUAAAAGCAAAGAGAGAUAGACCAUCCUUACUCCUCAGCUUUCUCUUUCACUCUCUCUCUCUCUCACACACACACAUACACACAGUAUGUAUGCACACUCAUACGCACAGGUCUGCAUGGCACACUGCAGUAAGUAAUUCCCAAGUGCUUCCUGGCUGACAAUGAAAGCCUACUUGCCCGAACAGCAAUCAAAUCCACAGCCUGCCCUGAUAAUUACCCCGUCAACUUUAGCCCCAGUAAAAUAAAUGAGCCAUUCAAAGAUUUCUGGAAACUUCAGUCCCAGCAACGCCUCCUCAGAUACAGUGGUUUGGCAGUUUGGGGUCUCCUUGUGCUCUCACAGAAAGGAUAUCAAAUUUCUGACCACUCUCCUUGUGGUUGAACUAUUUCUCCUCCUUUGAAGAUCAUAAUUUCUGAAACAUUGGCGUCUCCCUUUUCUUUCCUACUUGUUUAUCCUCUUGUAACUUGAAGGCUCUGAAGGCCAAGUCAUAGAAAUUGUUAAUUGCACUCUUGGAUUUUGUUAAACAAAAGAACUGGUGAUGACUCUCACUGGGGCUGCCAGAAAAUACUGCUUAUUUGGCUGGGCAUGGCUGGAGCCCACACUAAAUGUCAGCUCCUCUAUGGAGCUAUCUCCUUCUCACGAUGUCAGCUUAACUCUCAUUACUUUUAAGCUACUGAGUAUCUGGGCAUUUCAUUCUUCAGAAAGUUUUUCCAGAAAAUUAACUUGUGGGGGAAAUCAUGUGCUGUAUUAAUUCACCCCAGACACUAUCCGUUUCAAAGUGAAAUCUCCAGGCUUUAGUCAAUACUGGCUCUUUGUAAGUGUUUCACAUCUCCCAGGGCAUCAAGAGAUCAGACGCAGUGAGACAAGGAUGUAAAAUUCUUGUCAGUGUUUCAGUGCCCACUAUUUCUUGUCUCCUGUGGCUUUGUGCCACUGGAUCAUGUAAUACAAGCCUUGUCUUGCCUGCUAUCUUUCCUCACUGAAUUUCCUAUACCAGGUAUCAGGAAAGUCAGAGAACACAAAUAUUUUCUAAUGCCAGCAUCUGCUUAGAGCCCUGUUCACAAGACCUGUCAGAGAACCCAAAGCAAAAAAAAUCUCCUUCCUGUCAUCUGCCUUUCAGUCAUUUGGUGAGGAGUCCUUAAUGCUGGAAAAGUAACUCAAUGAAAUGGAGCCAGAGGGAGAGAGCAAGUGAGCCACGUUCACUGUAGAGUUCACAAACUUCAGGUAUGAACCUGAAGACCCCAGAGUUGUCGUAAGCAGCAAAGACCCCCUGCAGAUGCAACCUACACCAUCUCCCAACCAUGUGACUGGUAGGACAUGUGUGUGUUCCAGGUCCCUUUAUGUCAGGUCAGACUGCUUUAGUCCUGCCAUGGAAAUAAAUCCCUAAACUAGGAUCAGGUGUCUCCUGUCAAAACCAAAAUACAAAGUUAGUAACAAUGGCUCCUUUGGUGUUCUGGAAAGGAAAGGCUGUUGGCACAGCUCACCCAUCUCCUUUUGUGAGGGACAUUGCUCCAUCUUCCCUGUUUCCCCUUCUUUCCUCCCCUUGUACUGCAUGAUAAACAAACCAAGUGGUAUCUUCCAUUUCACCUUGAAUGAGCUCUCUUAUCCCCAUGUAUUGAUAUCACUGACAUUUGAUUCUGAGGUACUGCAAUAGGUGAUAAACAGCCAUACCUUUUAUAGAGGAUCUAAAAAGAAAGGACAGUAAGAAUAAGUAGGCUCAUUGUUGAUAAGGUCUGCAGGUGCCUCCUGGCAAGGUGGCCUGUUCACCAGGAUACUUUGCUUCCCUUACAAAUGGACUUGCCAAUCUGGCAUGGCACAGUGACAGAGGUGGGGGAGGUGGGGUAGGUGGGGUUUUCAUGUUUGAGAGACUUUAAUUUAAAAUUGGCUAACAUGGUGUUCCUCAAUUGAAAAGUUUUCUGGCCUGGUAUCAAUAGCAGUAAAGUUAAGUAAUGAGCUGGGUUCUCUUUCUAUGUUUAUCUUUAUAAUCAAUCUUAAUUAUAUUUUGUUUAUUCAUGAUCUCAUGUAACCAAGGGGUAAGAUAUACAAAUCCUUUGCUUUCAGCCCAAUAAUGGAAAUAGUUCUCAAAUAAUGAAUAUUUAUAAUUACGACUUUCCUGGCCCCAUUUUGUAGAAACUAGUCUAGAUCAUUUCCUGUAGCAGAAAGCUUAACCUCAUAAGUAAAGAAGUGAGCCCUGAGCCCCAAAUAUGCCAUGAUUUCUACCAUUAAACUGUUUGGCUGGAAGGCCUUGUAGAGUCAUAGGAAGGACCUGGACUUCAGAGUUAGAUCUGCUGGAUUUGAAUCCCAGCUCUACGACUCACUGACUUUGUGAGUUUGGGCAUGCUGUUUGACCUCUGUAAAAGCCAGUUUCCCUAUCCAUAAAAUGGGGGCAGUGAUACCUAUCUUGUGAGAAUUUAAUUAUCUAGUUUAUGUUAAAUUCCAGACAUUCUCUCAUCAACUAUUGCACUUCUUGUACCUCAAUUCUAUUCUAUACUUUUCUGUGUUCUAUAUUUUAAUUUGUUUUGUCAAUGAACAUUGAACAGGUAGGACACUAUAUGCUUAGAAACAUUUUCCAUAUAACCCCUUAAGUUAAAAGAGAAGAGGCUUGAAGAUACCUAACCCUUCCUAAUUUUAAUAGGUUCCUAAACAUAAUAAUUCUGUUCCCUUCCAUUUGCUGUCAGUUGACUCUUGAAUCUAUAUGCCCAAACCAGACCUCUCCUCUAAAUGCCAGACUCAGUAUAUCCAAUGAUCUCUUUAACAUCUCAAUUGGAUGUAUAAUUGGCACCUCACACUUAAAUAUUCAAAAAGAAACUUCUGCUCUUCCUUUUUAGACCACAGUCCUCCCCAUCUCAACUAAUAGCAACUUCAUCCCUCUGCUGCUCAGGCCUAAAACAUUAGAUUUCUUCUGAAUGCCUCUCUUUCUCUCAUACCCUACAUGUAAUCCACCAACAAGUCCUGUUGGCUCAACUUUCAGCAGAAUCUAAAGCCAUCUCACACCUUCACUGCCAUCCUAAUUUAAGCCACCAUUAUUCUGUCACUCAAUAAUUCUGUCACUGAAUAAUUCUGUCCUAACAGAUCUUUCUGCUUCCAUACUCUGUUCCCAAUCUCUUCCCAACACCACACUCAAAGAAAUCCCUUUAAAGCUUAAUCAUAUCAUGGCCUUCUAAAUGGCUUUCCAUCUUACUCAAGUGAAAGCCAAAGUCAUUACAUACAGCUUUCAAUGUCCUAUUUGAUCUGCACCCUCUGACAUACCCCCCAGUAUGGCUCAUUCUGCUCUAGCUGAUGCUGGGUUUCUAGCCACUUUCUCCAAACUCACCAAGUAUAUUCCUAACUCAGGCUCUUGUACAUACUGUUCCAUCUACCUGAAACAUCUUCCUCAGAUAUGUGCAUGCCUCAGUUUCUCACUUUAUUUCAGAUCUUUACUCAAAUACUCCAUUUCCAAUCAGAACUUCCCUGUCCACUCUAUUUAUAAUUAUACCCUAUUCACCAUCUCUGGAGUCCAUUUCAUAUCUCUUGCUUGCUUCCUUUAUUUUUUUCCCAUAGCCCUCAUCACUAUGUGAAGAUUAUGUGUUUGACUUGUUUGCUUUGUUAUUAGUCUCCUCUCAUUAGAAUGUUAGCUCUACGAGGACAAGGGUAUUUUUUUUUCUAUGCCCCCAUCACAUAUUAGGUGUUCAGUAAACAUUUUUAACAAAUUGAACUGGUGAAUGAAAUCCUCAGGGUUUCUUCCUGGUUCACUCCAUACAUAUUUUACUUGUUCCUUUAUACUUCCCCCCCAGACUUUUUCUUCUAGCCAAAUUAGAAUAACAGAGAACUAAUUUAUACUUACAUCUUAUAAUUAUGGUCACCAAAGAUAUCAAGUUAUAAUCCCUGAACUUGUAAAUGAGAAUUUAUUUGGGAAAGAGGUAUUUGUAGAUGUAAUUAAGUUGAGGAUUUUGAGAUGAAGAGAUUACCCUGGAUUAUCUGGGUAGACCCUUAAUGGAAUUAUAAGUGUCCUUCCAGGAUAGAGGCAAAGGGAGAUAACACAAACACUCAGAGGAAAAGAUGAUGUGAAAACAGAGGCAGAGAUUAAAGUGCAGUGACCUCAAGUCCAAGAGUGCCGAAAAAGCCACCAGAAGCUGGAAGAGUUACAGCAGCCUCUGAGGUGGUGGAGGGUGGCAGCAGGACAGUGAGCUGACGGCCAACCCCUGUGCCCAAGUGUGCUGCUCCGCUCAACUCCAUGUGCACCAGGGAACAGCCAUUCUCUGCAGGCUGAUUUGAUCUGGAACCACAAUUGAGUCUAGUUCUGGAAUCUCAGACACAUGGAGAACUACACCUUGUCUCCAGUUGCUACAAGUCAAGUCCACCUGCAUGCAGACAGCUACAAUUGUCUUGUAAAAUUAGAAAACAGAACAGGGACAACAGUAUUAUCUAUAUUGACUAUAGAUUAAUUAUUCAUUUGCAUUCUUUGUCUUUUGUACUUAUAAAUAUGAAAUUUGUAUAUAAACGUGUGUUUUACAACAUAAGAUACAGAUCUAUAUAUAUGUACCUUUGAAAGAUUAUUCUCUCUGCUCUUUGGCCUAAAUUUCCAAAUGGAAUCAUCCUGUGUACAGUAACCUGUGUCUGAAAAUUUCUGUCCACUUAGAGUAAUGAAGGCAUGGGGUCAUAAUGAGAGCAACAAAAAAGUUACACUUUAUACUGUGAAAGACCGUCACCUUAUUGUUCAUUUACUUAAGUUUUUCAUUUUGUUUUUAUAUUUUGAAAUGUUGAAUAAAAAACUCAAGGCA
This 5378-nucleotide long non-coding RNA is filed under the name Homo sapiens (human). RNAcentral's name for it is "HSALNT0321284". The record is from RNAcentral. Lineage: Eukaryota; Metazoa; Chordata; Mammalia; Primates; Hominidae.